AACUUUCGGCAACGGAUCUCUUGGUUCUGGCAUCGAUGAAGAACGCAGCGAAAUGCGAUAAGUAAUGUGAAUGGCAGAAGUCAGUGAAUCAUCGAAUCUUGGAACGCACCUUGCGCCCUUUGGCUAUUCUGAAGGGCAUGCCUGUUUGAGUAUCAUGAACACCUCAACCCCUCAUGGUUUACCGUGAUGGGCUUGGACUUUGGGGGUCUUGCUGACCUAUGGUUGGCUCCUCUCAAAUGGAUCAGCUUGCCAGUGUUUGGUGGCCUCACAGGUGUGAUAAAUAUCUACGCUUGUGGUUUCCACCAUAUUGCCUUCAGCGAUGAAGGUUCUCUGGAGCUCACAAAUGUCCCUCCUCCGCGAGGACAGCUUUUUGAACGUUUGAUCUCAACUCAGGUAGGAUUACCCGCUGAACUUAAGCAUAUCAAUAAGCGGAGGCU
This 437-nucleotide unclassified non-coding RNA is filed under the name uncultured Tomentella. Its description in RNAcentral is "sequence contains ITS2". The stretch from base 1 to 155 matches the Rfam family "5.8S ribosomal RNA". Lineage: Eukaryota; Fungi; Basidiomycota; Agaricomycetes; Thelephorales; Thelephoraceae. The record is from RNAcentral.